AUUUCACAGCCCGAACAUGUUUAUGCAGUAGCCAUGACAGCAGUUCGAAAAAUAAAAUCGCGGCCUGUUUGCAUCAUUGAAAUAAAGUUGUUUUUCGUUUAAUUCUAUCUCUAAGCUCUAGAAAAAAAUCCAACACACGGACGAGGAGUUCAUCAAAUUGACCAUGAAAGUGACCGUCUUUAUUCUUUACCGCCGAUUACAGGCAACAUUCUCGGGAACGUAUACUGCAGUCGGCUCCGAAAGUCCCCAAAAUUGGUUUCUGGCACUGAUUGAUGUUCAAUAAUAUCUACCCAUUUCAUCCGAUAAAAAUACUCAAGAACUUGAUGUAGAUAAUAAAAAUUAUGAUGGUGCAAUGAUA
This is a long non-coding RNA of Armigeres subalbatus, 358 nucleotides long. RefSeq lists it as uncharacterized. NCBI's taxonomy places the organism in Eukaryota, Metazoa, Arthropoda, Insecta, Diptera, Culicidae. The transcript has 3 exons. The record is from RefSeq and is a predicted model, not a curated record.